AGCAAGUCACUAUUAUAUCCUGGAAUAGUGGCUGUUAGCUAGAUUUUCAAAUUUUGGCUGUCAAAUCAACCCAAUCACCUCUUUUUCAAAAACGUAAAUUCCCCAAUUUAUCAACAGUAAAUUCUUGAGAAAAAAAGGCGCUCAAUGGCCAUCACUUCCUCAUCCAAGGUAUAGUAUCUUUCUCCCUUUACAAAAUGUUCGAAAUUUGAAUAUGUCGAAAACUAAGUCGGGUGUGAGAGCGUGUUUAAUUAGAAAAAGAAGUAUAUUUGUGCAUGUAUAUGUACCUAUGCUUGUAUUGUCUAACUAAUGAUUAUAAUGACUUGUUCCUGUAUACAGAUUAGCAAGGCCUCGGACAAGAAGAAGAAGACUUUCAAGAAUAAGCAUAGUGGGAGCAACCACAAACAAGU
Molecule: long non-coding RNA, 407 nt
Filed under: Daucus carota (carrot)
Lineage: Eukaryota; Viridiplantae; Streptophyta; Magnoliopsida; Apiales; Apiaceae
Description: long non-coding RNA (DCAR_LNC006982)
Source: RNAcentral